Molecule: unclassified non-coding RNA, 329 nt
Filed under: soil metagenome
Description: partial contains 5.8S ribosomal RNA, internal transcribed spacer 2, and large subunit ribosomal RNA
Rfam family: 5.8S ribosomal RNA (bases 1-120)
Source: RNAcentral
GAUGAAGAACGUAGCGAAAUGCGAUAAGUAGUGUGAAUUGCAGAAUUCAGUGAAUCAUCGAAUCUUUGAACGCACAUUGCGCCUCCUGGUAUUCCGGGAGGCAUGCCUGUUCGAGCGUCAUUAAAAUCACUCAAGCUCAGCUUGGUGUUGGGGCCUGCUGCACUGGCAGCCCUUAAAAUCAGUGGCGGCGCCAUCUGGCUCUAAGCGUAGUAAUUCUUCUCGCUAUGGAGUCCUGGUGGAUGCUUGCCAUCAACCCCCAAUUUUUCUAUGGUUGACCUCGGAUCAGGUAGGGAUACCCGCUGAACUUAAGCAUAUCAAUAAGCGGAGGA